AUUGAACGCUGGCGGAAUGCUUUACACAUGCAAGUCGAACGGCAGCACGGACUUCGGUCUGGUGGCGAGUGGCGAACGGGUGAGUAAUGUAUCGGAACGUGCCCAGUCGUGGGGGAUAACGUAGUGAAAAUUACGCUAAUACCGCAUACGAUCUAUGGAUGAAAGCGGGGGAUCGCAAGACCUCGCGCGAUUGGAGCGGCCGAUAUCAGAUUAGGUAGUUGGUGGGGUAAAGGCCCACCAAGCCAACGAUCUGUAGCUGGUCUGAGAGGACGACCAGCCACACUGGAACUGAGACAUGGUCCAGACUCCUACGGAAGGCAGCAGUGGGGAAUUUUGGACAAUGGGCGAAAGCCUGAUCCAGCCAUUCCGCGUGCAGGAUGAAGGCCCUCGGGUUGUAAACUGCUUUUGUACAGAACGAAAAGGUUUCUACUAAUACUAGGAGCUCAUGACGGUACUGUAAGAAUAAGCACCGGCUAACUACGUGCCAGCCGCCGCAGUAA
RNAcentral lists this ribosomal RNA (500 nucleotides) under uncultured bacterium. RNAcentral describes it as "partial 16S ribosomal RNA". It matches the Rfam family "Bacterial small subunit ribosomal RNA", at positions 30 to 523 of the family's 1533-position model. The record is from RNAcentral.